AGUGAACGCUGGCGGUAGGCCUAACACAUGCAAGUCGAACGGCAGCACAGUAAGAGCUUGCUCUUACGGGUGGCGAGUGGCGGACGGGUGAGGAAUACAUCGGAAUCUACUUUUUCGUGGGGGAUAACGUAGGGAAACUUACGCUAAUACCGCAUACGACCUACGGGUGAAAGCAGGGGAUCUUCGGACCUUGCGCGAUUGAAUGAGCCGAUGUCGGAUUAGCUAGUUGGCGGGGUAAAGGCCCACCAAGGCGACGAUCCGUAGCUGGUCUGAGAGGAUGGUCAGCCACACUGGAGCUGAGACACGGUCCAGACUCCUACGGGAGGCAGCAGUGGGGAAUAUUGGACAAAGGGCGCAAGCCUGAUCCAGCCAUACUGCGUGGGUGAAGAAGGCCUUCGGGUUGUAAAGCCCUUUUGUUGGGAAAGAAAAGCAGCAGGUUAAUACCCCGCUGUUCUGACGGUACCCAAAGAAUAAGCACCGGCUAACUUCGUG
Molecule: ribosomal RNA, 492 nt
Filed under: uncultured bacterium
Lineage: Bacteria
Description: partial 16S ribosomal RNA
Rfam family: Bacterial small subunit ribosomal RNA
Source: RNAcentral